GGGCACACCCCGGAGAGCUGCCCGCCCUCACCCGGGUGCUGGGGAGGAGCCGCUCCUCGGGUGCGGCUGGAAACAGCCUCAAAUCCCUGCCCUAAUCAUGGAAAAACAUCGCUGUUCGGGAAAGAGGGCGGGAACCAGUGGGGAUUUUCCGGGGGAAGCGGGGUUGUGUUUUUGUGUUCAAGUGAGUCACCAGGCUGAGGGGUGGAACAAGCAAUACAUGGUGCGACUUUUGGGGCUGUCCUGGGCAGGGCAAGGAGCUGAACUCGAUGAUCCUGGUGGAUCCUUCCCAACCCAGGAUAUUCCAUGAUUCCAUGACUCACAGGACAGGAUGCUCCAGUGUCAUGGCACCCCAGGGCAGGGCAAAGCACCCAGCCCUUUUCCAGACACUUGUGGUCAGUGACUGCUCUCUGUGUCACUGCACCUCUCCCGUGUCCUGUGGGGUGUCCCAGUGCCAGCCCUGGGGCUGCCCAGCCACAGCUGUCCCGGCUGGAGCUGGAGAUGCUGGACACAGCUUCCCAAGAGCUGCCACAUCCUGAGGCACUUCUGUGCCUCACUUUGCUAUCCCUGCACGAGGUGCUCCUCCCUUCCUUCCUUCUUGGCCAGGAGAUCGCUGGGAGCCAAGGGUGGAGUACAACAAAAAUAGAGCUUUAUUUUGGGACAAGUGCAAUCGGAGCUGGGUCCUUCGGCCCCGGCGUGGGGAUACAAGUGUGGCAAAGCCACCACGGGCCUGGCAGCGGUGCCAGGCACACACACCGGGUGUCCCUUUGCCAUGGCAUGUGCUGUGUCACAGCCCAGCACUGUCCCGUGUCACAGCCCACCACUGUCCUGGAGCGAUGGCAGCGGGUCCAGGCUGCUCCCGUGCCCUCGGCUGGGCUCUCACCAUCUCUGCCACGGAUGCCAGUCUGCAGCGAGCUGGGAGGGGUGGGGACAGCUGUGGGGGCUCAGGGGCGUGGUGGGGACAAGGACAACAUCGGCAGCACCACCGGCAGCCCCUGGGAUUGUCACGACACGGUGGGGACAGGGACAGGAGAGGGGACACACCCACCCUGUCCUGGGCGUUCGGUUCGGCCACGAGAACCGAGAGUACACAGAGAGCCAGGGGCCACUCCAGCCAGCAGAGCUCAGUAGUGACACACACACAGACACACAGACACACAGCCAGACACACAGACACGUCUGUUUGCCCAGGUGGGACAGCAGCUGGAUGCACGGAGCUGUGGAUCCAGAGCUGUGCCAGAGCCACGUCCCUGGGCCCUGUGUGCACACAGGGACAUGUGCAGAGCCAGUGCACAGCGGGACCUGCCAGCAGCACACACCUGCACACACACACACACACACACACACACACACAUACACAGCUGUGCACACCCAGCCUGCACACACCAGCACACGUGUGCCACACAGACACUGUGCACACACCUGUGUACGGCCUGGGGCAAUGCACGCGUGCCCACAAGCACAGACCUGCUUGCACACAGAGCCUGUGCACAUCAACGUGCACACUGACACGUGCACACCAAUGCAUGCACACAGAGCCUGUGCACACCAGCACGGGCACACCAACACAUGCAUACAGAGCUGUGCGCACCAACAUGUGCACACCAACACGUGAAUGAAGAGCCUGUGCACACCUAUGUGUGCAGUGUCAUACAUAUCAACACAGGCAUGUCCCACACAGGGCCAUGCUCACACCUGCAGAGCCUGUGCACACCCACAGGCACAGAGCUGUGCACAGACCCACACACACCCAAGAGUGUGCAAUUCCACACACGUGCACACAUCACGUGUGCACGUCAGCACGUCCGUGUGCACAGUGCUGUGCUCACCAGCACACCUGGACACUGUGCAAAGCAGGGUGUGUGCACUCACUUCUGGGCACACCAGAAAACACAACAUGCAAACAAACAUGCACACUGGCACACGUGUGCACCUCAGCAGCUGUGUGUGCACACAGAGCCAUGAACACUGGCACACACAUGCACAGUCACACACACACUGGCACACACACGUGCAGAGGAGUCACACACCCUGGGCACAUGUGCACAGUCACACACACCCUGGCACACACUGCAUA
Long non-coding RNA from Zonotrichia albicollis (white-throated sparrow), 2074 nucleotides. NCBI's taxonomy places the organism in Eukaryota, Metazoa, Chordata, Aves, Passeriformes, Passerellidae. The record is from Ensembl.